CCUACGGGGGGCUGCAGUGAGGAAUAUUGGUCAAUGGACGAGAGUCUGAACCAGCCAAGUAGCGUGAAGGAUGACUGCCCUAUGGGUUGUAAACUUCUUUUAUAUGGGAAUAAAACGUUCCACGUGUGGGAUUUUGUAUGUACCAUAUGAAUAAGGAUCGGCUAACUCCGUGCCAGCAGCCGCGGGAAUACGGAGGAUCCGAGCGUUAUCCGGAUUUAUUGGGUUUAAAGGGAGCGUAGGUGGAUUGUUAAGUCAGUUGUGAAAGUUUGCGGCUCAACCGUAAAAUUGCAGUUGAAACUGGCAGUCUUGAGUACAGUAGAGGUAGGCGGAAUUCGUGGUGUAGCGGUGAAAUGCUUAGAUAUCACGAAGAACUCCGAUUGCGAAGGCAGUUCACUGGACUGCAACUGACACUGAGGCUCGAAAGUGUGGGUAUCAAACAGGAUUAGAUACCCUUGUAGUC
This 460-nucleotide ribosomal RNA is filed under the name uncultured bacterium. RNAcentral describes it as "partial 16S ribosomal RNA". It matches the Rfam family "Bacterial small subunit ribosomal RNA", at positions 338 to 795 of the family's 1533-position model. The record is from RNAcentral.